Rosa chinensis is the source of this 2283-nucleotide RNA transcript. RefSeq lists it as uncharacterized. Lineage: Eukaryota; Viridiplantae; Streptophyta; Magnoliopsida; Rosales; Rosaceae. The record is from RefSeq and is a predicted model, not a curated record. The transcript has 2 exons.
AUAUUCUGUAUUUAAUUAGGAUCUUGUUUCCUAUUGUAAUCAGAUAUCUUAUAGGAGUCCAAUAUCUUGUUUAUUACUUACCUUAAUGUAUAGGGAUGUAUCAAUAUAUAUUCCUCCUUAUGGAGAAGAAUAAAAGUAUCACCAUAUUCUAAGCCAUCAGUUCUGAUAUGGUAUCAGAGGAUGUUCGAUCCUAACUCUUAGGACAACACUCUCCUACCUUUGAAUCCCGAAUUCCGAAUCCGAAUUUGUCCCGAAUUUCGAAGUGUUCAUCUGCAAGUACAGAUCCUGAAACCCGAAAACAAAUCCUCAUUUUGAAUCAUGGCCAUUAAUUGACGAAACCACCAAAGUACUUCCAUCCUCAUCUGAAUCACCAGUUCCACCAGUUGUUCAUGUUCAAUACCACAAAGAUUCUUCACCAUUCCCUACAGGAGUCAUCCUCGAUGAGACCAACUAUUCUCUCUGGUCUCAGGUUAUGGAGAUGCGUAUUGGUGCUCGCAAUAAAAUGUGCUAUCUUACCGGAGCAGCAGCCAAGCCACCACUUGGAGAUCCCAACUAUGAUACGUGGGUCACUGACAACCACAAAGUCAAGUGUUGGCUUAUUGAUUCAAUGAUUCCAACACUUAUGCAGAGGUUCAUUCGACUUGGUACCGCUCAGGAAAUCUGGGAUGCCGUUUCCAAAACUUUCUAUGAUGGGUCUGAUGAAACUCGGAUUUUCGAAUUGAAUCGGAAGUCCUUCACUACUCUGCAAAAUGGGAGACCUCUCUCUACAUAUUACAAUGAAUUGAUCGCCAUUUUUCAAGAGAUUGAUCACAGGAGCACAACUCAAGAAGACACGGUCGCGGGAGUGACUCAACUCAGCGCCGCAAUGGCCCGACUCCGGGUCCAUAUUUUCUUGAGUGGUCUGGACUCUGAUUUUGAUCAGAUUUGUGGAGAAAUUUUGCGCAAAGAGCCCAAAUUAGAUCUUAAGAGCAGCUAUGCUUAUGUCCGCAUGGUGGAUCAGCAAAAGAAGACUAUGGGUAGCUGUCCAGCAGUUUCUGAAGGCUCGGUAUUAGCAGUUACUCGUCCUAGACAAGGCCUGCCUUCUGGACCAUCUUCAGCCAAACCCAGUGCUUCCCCACAAAAUCCUCGGCCUCGGUACAAUUCUUCCCUAUCUCGGCCUGGAGGGUUAGUUUGUCAGCAUUGUGGGGAAUCAAGUCAUUCUAAAUGGAAGUGCUAUGAGAUUAUUGGCUAUCCAGAAUGGUGGGAUUUCGCCAAGAAGCCUCGGAAGAAUCUUGGAGGCAAAGCUGCAAUAAAUACUUCUGAAACAUCUCCAGAUCAAGGAAAGGCACAAGCAACCGCUAAUGUGACUCAGACAGAUAAUCCCGGUAAGACUUUGAAUGUUACUGCUGUUUCUAGUAAUACUACUUGGAACACAGGUGCAUCAGAUCAUAUGACGAAUGACCCAACUAUACUUCAUUCAAUCAAACCUUCAUCUCAGGCCAUCAUUUCUACUGCUGAUGGUAGUCCUUCUCCAGUUUCUGGGGAAGGUUCUGUCACUCUUUCACCCUCUCUUACUUUGGAUACUGUUCUUAUUGUCCCAUCAUUAGCUUAUAGUCUCUUCAGUUAUCUGUUGGCCAAAUCACUAUGGCCCUAUCCUGUUUAGUAAUUUUUUUGGCCUUCCUUUUGUAUACUUUAGGAUAUCCUAACCCGGAAGAUUCUUGGCUAUGGUGUUAGAAGGGGAAACUUGUACUACCUGGACUUGACAGAUAAAGGCAAUCAGAAAUUGGGAUAAGCACACAAGACAGGGGGAGUAGAAGAAGCAAGAGCAGUAGUUUGGUUAUGGCAUCGACGUUUAGGCCAUCUUUCUUUUGGAUAUCUUAGGAAACUACAACCACAUUUGUUUUCAAUGGUGAAGUAUUCUACCUCUCGGGUGCUACUUAUUUUGUUACAUUUAUUGAUGAGUGUACUCGAAAGACUUGGGUUGUGUUACUAAAGCAUAAGGGAGAAGUCUUUAAAGCCUUUCAGGAAUUCCAUACAAUGGUCUCUUCUCAAUAUCAAAAGAAUAUCCAAGUUUAUCAGAAUGGCGGCGAAUACAUGAGUAAUGCAAUGGCUGAUUUUUGCCGCAGUCAAGGAAUUCGUCACCAAACCUCAUGUUCCUAUACACCACAGCAAAAUGGGCUAGCGGAACGAAAUAAUAAUCAGUUGUUGGAAGUCCUUCGUGCCUCUCUCUUUGGUAUGAAUGUCGCUCGUGAAUAUUGGGGUGAAGCAUUGAAGUCUGCAACUUAUCUUAUCAAUCGCACUCAG